RNAcentral lists this unclassified non-coding RNA (635 nucleotides) under Hevea brasiliensis (rubber tree). The record is from RNAcentral. Lineage: Eukaryota; Viridiplantae; Streptophyta; Magnoliopsida; Malpighiales; Euphorbiaceae.
UAACUUUUGCAAUUGCAGCAGAGGAAAAUGAUGCAGUUCACGUCUCUGAGUGCCCUUUCUUUGUGAUAUCUGGCGACUCCCAGGGUAUUACAGCAAAAGACAUGUGGAAUGAAGUUAAAAAGCAUGGAUCCUUUGACCACCUUCAAUCUGAGGAAAAGUCAAUGCCUUCUGAACCGGGAUCACUUGUUGGAGCGGCAGUUGCAGCUUCACUAACUAUUCCAGCAGAUGAUGUAAGAAGUGCAACAUUCUCAUUGGCAUGGGCCUGCCCUGAAAUUAAUUUUGGAGAUGGUAAAACUUAUCAGAGGCGCUACACUAAGUUCUAUGGUACUACGGGUCAUGCUGCUGCAGAAAUUGCACAUGAUGCUAUCCAAGAGCAUACUCAGUGGGAGUCACAAAUAGAAGAAUGGCAAAAACCUAUUAUUGAAGACAAGAGGCUUCCCGAAUGGUACCCAGUAACACUCUUCAAUGAGCUCUAUUAUUUAAAUGCAGGAGGGACAAUUUGGACAGAUGGAUUGCCACCAGUUCAAAGUGUAUCAACAAUUGGGAAAAGAUUUUCCAUUGAAAGAUCUAGUUCGGAUGUUAAGAAAAAUGCUCAUUUAACCCAUUCAGAUGGCACUGCUGUUAGUAUUCUUGAG